Sarcophilus harrisii (Tasmanian devil) is the source of this 432-nucleotide long non-coding RNA. RefSeq lists it as uncharacterized. The transcript has 3 exons. The record is from RefSeq and is a predicted model, not a curated record. NCBI's taxonomy places the organism in Eukaryota, Metazoa, Chordata, Mammalia, Dasyuromorphia, Dasyuridae.
UCUGCUUGCCGAAGAGCUUGGUCUUGUGGGGCUGCAGGCCGUACUUGGCCAGGAACUUCUUGACGUCGUUGAAGCCCACGUAGCGCGGCACGUUCUGGAUCUCCACCUUGUAGAUCUCAGAGUGAUUCUCCUGGGAAACGGGCCCUCCUCAUUGGUCCUCUCUCUCGACGUAUUAAAGCCUCCGGACGCGAAAACGGAAGUGGGCGGCCGCUUUCGGCCCGGCCGGAAGUGGGCGCGGCCGUCGCAGUGAACGUCGGGAAGGCGGGAGCUGCGGCCUGGUGGGGACACAAAGCGCCCGGUGGGGCGGAGCGAGGAAGCCCACGAGGAGCACGACACCUCCACCGAGAACGUGGACGACUCUAACCACGAUCCACAGUUCGAGCCCAUCGUGUCUCUUCCCGAGCAGGAGAUCAAGACCCUGGAGGGAGAGGA